RNAcentral lists this ribosomal RNA (391 nucleotides) under uncultured bacterium. Its description in RNAcentral is "bacterial SSU rRNA". It matches the Rfam family "Bacterial small subunit ribosomal RNA", at positions 28 to 422 of the family's 1533-position model. The record is from RNAcentral.
GACGAACGCUGGCGGCGUGCUUAACACAUGCAAGUCGAGCGGUAAGGCCCUUUCGGGGGUACACGAGCGGCGAACGGGUGAGUAACACGUGGGUGACCUGCCCUUAGCUCUGGGAUAAGCCUGGGAAACUGGGUCUAAUACCGGAUAUGACUCCAUGACGCAUGUUGUGGGGUGAAAGCCUUGUGCGGCUAGGGAUGGGCCCGCGGCCUAUCAGCUUGUUGGUGGGGUGAUGGCCACCAAGGCGACGACGGGUAGCCGGCCUGAGAGGGCGACCGGCCACACUGGGACUGAGACACGGCCCAGACUCCUACGGGAGGCAGCAGUGGGGAAUCUUGCGCAAUGGGCGAAAGCCUGACGCAGCGACGCCGCGUGAGGGAUGACGGCCUGGUGU